Molecule: ribosomal RNA, 600 nt
Filed under: Brevibacillus sp.
Lineage: Bacteria; Bacillati; Bacillota; Bacilli; Caryophanales; Paenibacillaceae
Description: bacterial SSU rRNA
Rfam family: Bacterial small subunit ribosomal RNA
Source: RNAcentral
UGCAGUCGAGCGAGGGUUUUCGGACCCUAGCGGCGGACGGGUGAGUAACACGUAGGCAACCUGCCUGUAAGACUGGGAUAACAUAGGGAAACUUAUGCUAAUACCGGAUAGAGUUUUGCUUCGCAUGAAGCGAAACGGAAAGAUGGCGCAAGCUAUCACUUGCAGAUGGGCCUGCGGCGCAUUAGCUAGUUGGUGAGGUAAAGGCUCACCAAGGCGACGAUGCGUAGCCGACCUGAGAGGGUGACCGGCCACACUGGGACUGAGACACGGCCCAGACUCCUACGGGAGGCAGCAGUAGGGAAUUUUCCACAAUGGACGAAAGUCUGAUGGAGCAACGCCGCGUGAACGAUGAAGGCUUUCGGGUCGUAAAGUUCUGUUGUUAGGGAAGAAACAGUGCUAUUUAAAUAAGGUGGCACCUUGACGGUACCUAACGAGAAAGCCACGGCUAACUACGUGCCAGCAGCCGCGGUAAUACGUAGGUGGCAAGCGUUGUCCGGAAUUAUUGGGCGUAAAGCGCGCGCAGGUGGCUAUGUAAGUCUGAUGUUAAAGCCCGGGGCUCAACCUCGGUUCGCAUUGGAAACUGCGUAGCUUGAGUGCAGG